This 576-nucleotide ribosomal RNA is filed under the name Triticum aestivum (bread wheat). Its description in RNAcentral is "partial small subunit ribosomal RNA". Lineage: Eukaryota; Viridiplantae; Streptophyta; Magnoliopsida; Poales; Poaceae. The record is from RNAcentral.
AUGGCGAUGGCGCCGCCGCGGCUCCUCCUCCUCCUCGCCCUGUUUGCCUGCCUGAGCCUCGUCUCUGCCACCCUGUCGCCCCGGCCGCUCCCACGCACCGACGACGACGGCCUCGCGCGGACCACCGGCAGCUCCUCGUCGUCUUCGGAGCGAGGCGUGGGCGCGCGGACUUGCUGGUACACGGUGCAGAUCAAGACGAGCUGCUCCUCUCCGGCGCGCACGUCGGACGCGAUCAGCCUGGCGUUCGGGGACGUGUACCGCGACGAGGUGUACGCGGCGCGGCUGGGCGGCGCCGCCGGCGCGUUCGACCGGUGCGCCACCGACACGUUCAAGAUCGGGGGGCCCUGCGGGUACGGCGUCUGCUACCUCUACCUCCGCCGCGCCGGCCGCACCGGGUGGACGCCGGAGUGGGUCAGGGUGUACGAGCCCACCGCCCCCAGCGCGCCCUCCACCUUCCGCUACGGCGACCCGCUCCCCAACAACGUCUGGUACGGCUUCAACCGCUGCCCGCGCCUCGCCUCCUCCUCCUCCUCGUCGUCUCCUUCCUCUGCUGCUGGUGCUGCACAGGCGAUGUAG